RNAcentral lists this ribosomal RNA (375 nucleotides) under uncultured bacterium. RNAcentral describes it as "bacterial SSU rRNA". It matches the Rfam family "Bacterial small subunit ribosomal RNA", at positions 524 to 898 of the family's 1533-position model. The record is from RNAcentral.
UACGGGGGGAGCAAGCGUUGUCCGGAAUCACUGGGCGUAAAGAGCGCGUAGGCGUCCUAAUAAGUUUCUGGUGAAAUACUCCUGCUCAACGGGAGAAUUGCUGGAGAUACUGUUAGGAUUGAGUUUAGAAGAGGGAAGCGGAAUUCCUGGUGUAGCGGUGAAAUGCGUAGAUAUCAGGAAGAACACCGAUGGCGAAGGCAGCUUCCUAGUCUAACACUGACGCUGUGGCGCGAAAGCGUGGGGAGCAAACAGGAUUAGAUACCCUGGUAGUCCACGCCCUAAACGAUGGAUACUUGGCGUUGGGAGCUCGACCCUUCCAGUGCCGAAGUAAACGCGUUAAGUAUCCCGCCUGGGGACUACGGCCGCAAGGUUGAA